RNAcentral lists this ribosomal RNA (253 nucleotides) under uncultured bacterium. RNAcentral describes it as "partial 16S ribosomal RNA". It matches the Rfam family "Bacterial small subunit ribosomal RNA", at positions 524 to 776 of the family's 1533-position model. The record is from RNAcentral.
UACGUAGGUGGCGAGCGUUGUCCGGAUUUACUGGGCGUAAAGAGCGCGCAGGCGGUCGUUCAAGUCGCGUGUGAAAGCCCCCGGCUCAACUGGGGAGGGUCACGCGAUACUGAUCGACUCGAAGGCAGGAGAGGGUAGUGGAAUUCCCGGUGUAGUGGUGAAAUGCGUAGAUAUCGGGAGGAACACCAGUGGCGAAGGCGGCUCACUGGCUUAUUACUGACGCUCAGGCGCGAUAGCGUGGGGAUCAAACAGG